Molecule: small nuclear RNA, 107 nt
Organism: Sorex araneus (European shrew)
Lineage: Eukaryota; Metazoa; Chordata; Mammalia; Eulipotyphla; Soricidae
Source: Ensembl
GUGCGCAAUUCUGCAGCACAUAUACUAAAACUGAAACGAUACAGGGAAGGUUAGCAUGGCCCCUAUACAAGAAUGACAUGCAAAUUCAUGAAGCAGUCUAUAUUUUU